ACGGAGGAUCCAAGCGUUAUCCGGAUUUAUUGGGUUUAAAGGGAGCGUAGGCGGAUUAUUAAGUCAGUUGUGAAAGUUUGCGGCUCAACCGUAAAAUUGCAGUUGAUACUGGUAGUCUUGAGUGCAGCAGAGGUAGGCGGAAUUCGUGGUGUAGCGGUGAAAUGCUUAGAUAUCACGAAGAACUCCGAUUGCGAAGGCAGCUUACUGGACUGUAACUGACGCUGAUGCUCGAAAGUGUGGGUAUCAAACAG
RNAcentral lists this ribosomal RNA (251 nucleotides) under uncultured bacterium. Its description in RNAcentral is "partial 16S ribosomal RNA". It matches the Rfam family "Bacterial small subunit ribosomal RNA", at positions 525 to 775 of the family's 1533-position model. The record is from RNAcentral.